RNAcentral lists this small RNA (681 nucleotides) under Pan troglodytes (chimpanzee). RNAcentral's name for it is "retained intron". Lineage: Eukaryota; Metazoa; Chordata; Mammalia; Primates; Hominidae. The record is from RNAcentral.
CAGGAACUCGGCUUUCAGUCUGGCCCCACCUCCCCAGGCCUCUUAUCAGGUUUCUCACCAACUUCCUCUUCCCCCAGGUGCCAGUGGCAUUGGCAGGCCACACUGGGGAGUUCAUGUGCCUUGUGGUUGUGUCUAACCGCAGGCUGUACCUGUUGAAGGUGACUGGGGAGAUGCGUGAGCCUCCAGCUAGCUGGCUGCAGCUGACCCUGGCUGUUCCCCUGCAGGAUCUGAGUGGCAUAGAGCUGGGCCUGGCAGGCCAGAGCCUGCGGCUAGAGUGGGCAGCUGGGGUGGGCUGCUGUGUGCUGCUGCCCCGAGAUGCCAGGUGUUGCCGGGCCUUCCUAGAGGAGCUCCUUGAUGUCUUGCAGUCUCUGCCCCCUGCCUGGAGGAACUGUGUCAGUGCCACAGAGGAGGAGGUCACCCCCCAGCACCGGCUCUGGCCAUUGCUGGAAAAAGACUCAUCCUUGGAGGCUCGCCAGUUCUUCUACCUUCGGGCGUUCCUGGUUGAAGGUGAAGCCUCUGUGCAGCUGAUGCUUCCCUGGUCUCUGUACCCCACCUUGUCACAGGCACUGGCCCACGCGCAGCACCUGUACAGUGCCCUUGCAGCAACUGUCAGUUCCUGGAACCUGGAGAACUUCUCACUCGAGGGCAUAGCUGAGUAACAGCCUCAGUGUGCCCUGACCC